UGGCUCAGGAUGAACGCUAGCGACAGGCCUAACACAUGCAAGUCGAGGGGCAUCGGGGCGAGGAGCAAUCCUUGCCGCCGGCGACCGGCGCACGGGUGAGUAACGCGUAUGCGACCUGCCCGUUGCAGGGGGAUAAUCGGGAGAAAUCCCGUCUAAUACCGCGUAACGCCGCGGGGCUGCAUGGCCCUGCGGCCAAAGGGAGCGAUUCCGGCAACGGAUGGGCAUGCGUGACAUUAGCUAGUUGGCGGGGCAACGGCCCACCAAGGCGACGAUGUCUAGGGGUUCUGAGAGGAAGGUCCCCCACACUGGUACUGAGACACGGACCAGACUCCUACGGGAGGCAGCAGUGAGGAAUAUUGGUCAAUGGGCGCGAGCCUGAACCAGCCAAGUCGCGUGAGGGAUGACGGCCCUACGGGUUGUAAACCUCUUUUGUCGGGGAGCAAAUUCCGCCACGUGUGGCGGAGUCGAGAGUACCCGAAGAAAAAGCAUCGGCUAACUCCGUGCCAGCAGCCGCGGUAAUACGGAGGAUGCGAGCGUUAUCCGGAUUUAUUGGGUUUAAAGGGUGCGUAGGCGGACUGUCAAGUCAGCGGUAAAAUACGGGGGCUCAACCUCCGCCCGCCGUUGAAACUGACGGUCUUGAGUGGGCGAGAAGUAUGCGGAAUGCGUGGUGUAGCGGUGAAAUGCAUAGAUAUCACGCAGAACUCCGAUUGCGAAGGCAGCAUACCGGCGUCCAACUGACGCUGAAGCACGAAAGCGUGGGUAUCGAACAGGAUUAGAUACCCUGGUAGUCCACGCAGUAAACGAUGAAUACUAGCUGUCCGGGGCGAAUGAGCCCUGGGUGGCACAGCGAAAGCGUUAAGUAUUCCACCUGGGGAGUACGCCGGCAACGGUGAAACUCAAAGGAAUUGACGGGGGCCCGCACAAGCGGAGGAACAUGUGGUUUAAUUCGAUGAUACGCGAGGAACCUUACCCGGGCUCAAACGACACAGGAACGUACCUGAAAGGGUUCGGCUCUACGGAGCCUGUGUCGAGGUGCUGCAUGGUUGUCGUCAGCUCGUGCCGUGAGGUGUCGGCUUAAGUGCCAUAACGAGCGCAACCCCCAUCGACAGUUGCUAACAGGUUAGGCUGAGGACUCUGUCGAGACUGCCGGCGCAAGCUGCGAGGAAGGCGGGGAUGACGUCAAAUCAGCACGGCCCUUACGUCCGGGGCGACACACGUGUUACAAUGGCAGGUACAGCGGGAAGCCACCUGGCGACAGGGAGCGGAACCCGAAAGCCUGUCUCAGUUCGGAUUGGAGUCUGCAACCCGACUCCAUGAAGCUGGAUUCGCUAGUAAUCGCGCAUCAGCCACGGCGCGGUGAAUACGUUCCCGGGCCUUGUACACACCGCCCGUCAAGCCAUGGAAGCCGGGGGUGCCUGAAGUGCGCUGCCGCGAGGAGCGCCCUAGGGUAAAACCGGUGACUGGGGCUAAGUCGUAACAAGGUA
RNAcentral lists this ribosomal RNA (1484 nucleotides) under uncultured bacterium. RNAcentral describes it as "16S ribosomal RNA". It matches the Rfam family "Bacterial small subunit ribosomal RNA". The record is from RNAcentral.